Molecule: ribosomal RNA, 688 nt
Filed under: Acinetobacter venetianus
Lineage: Bacteria; Pseudomonadati; Pseudomonadota; Gammaproteobacteria; Moraxellales; Moraxellaceae
Description: bacterial SSU rRNA
Rfam family: Bacterial small subunit ribosomal RNA
Source: RNAcentral
UAGGAAUCUGCCUAUUAGUGGGGGACAACAUUCCGAAAGGAAUGCUAAUACCGCAUACGUCCUACGGGAGAAAGCAGGGGACCUUCGGGCCUUGCGCUAAUAGAUGAGCCUAAGUCGGAUUAGCUAGUUGGUGGGGUAAAGGCCUACCAAGGCGACGAUCUGUAGCGGGUCUGAGAGGAUGAUCCGCCACACUGGGACUGAGACACGGCCCAGACUCCUACGGGAGGCAGCAGUGGGGAAUAUUGGACAAUGGGGGGAACCCUGAUCCAGCCAUGCCGCGUGUGUGAAGAAGGCCUUAUGGUUGUAAAGCACUUUAAGCGAGGAGGAGGCUACUAGUAUUAAUACUACUGGAUAGUGGACGUUACUCGCAGAAUAAGCACCGGCUAACUCUGUGCCAGCAGCCGCGGUAAUACAGAGGGUGCGAGCGUUAAUCGGAUUUACUGGGCGUAAAGCGUGCGUAGGCGGCCAUUUAAGUCAAAUGUGAAAUCCCCGAGCUUAACUUGGGAAUUGCAUUCGAUACUGGAUGGCUAGAGUAUGGGAGAGGAUGGUAGAAUUCCAGGUGUAGCGGUGAAAUGCGUAGAGAUCUGGAGGAAUACCGAUGGCGAAAGGCAGCCAUCUGGCCUAAUACUGACGCUGAGGUACGAAAGCAUGGGGAGCAAACAGGAUUAGAUACCCUGGUAGUCCAUGC